GAGUUUGAUCGUGGCUCAGAACGAACGCUGGCGGCAGGCCUAACACAUGCAAGUCGAACGCUCCGCAAGGGGCGUGGCAGACGGGUGAGUAACGCGUGGGAACGUACCCUUCGGUUCGGAAUAACCCAGGGAAACUUGGGAUAAUACCGGAUACGUCCGUAAGGAGAAAGAUUUAUCGCCGAAGGAUCGGCCCGCGUCUGAUUAGCUAGUUGGUGAGGUAAUGGCUCACCAAGGCGACGAUCAGUAGCUGGUCUGAGAGGAUGAUCAGCCUCACUGGGACUGAGACACGGCCCAGACUCCUACGGGAGGCAGCAGUGGGGAAUAUUGGACAAUGGGCGCAAGCCUGAUCCAGCCAUGCCGCGUGGAUGAUGAAGGCCCUAGGGUUGUAAAGUCCUUUUCGGCGGGGAAGAUAAUGACGGUACCCGCAGAAGAAGCCCCGGCUAACUUCGUGCCAGCCGCCGCGGUAAU
Molecule: ribosomal RNA, 468 nt
Filed under: uncultured Alphaproteobacteria bacterium
Lineage: Bacteria; Pseudomonadati; Pseudomonadota; Alphaproteobacteria
Description: bacterial SSU rRNA
Rfam family: Bacterial small subunit ribosomal RNA
Source: RNAcentral